CCUACGGGAGGCAGCAGUGGGGAAUAUUGGACAAUGGGCGAAAGCCUGAUCCAGCCAUGCCGCGUGUGUGAAGAAGGUCUUCGGAUUGUAAAGCACUUUAAGUUGGGAGGAAGGGCAGUUACCUAAUACGUAAUUGUUUUGACGUACCGACAGAAUANGCNCAGAU
Molecule: ribosomal RNA, 166 nt
Filed under: bacterium
Lineage: Bacteria
Description: partial 16S ribosomal RNA
Rfam family: Bacterial small subunit ribosomal RNA
Source: RNAcentral